This is a long non-coding RNA of Triticum dicoccoides, 917 nucleotides long. RefSeq lists it as uncharacterized. The record is from RefSeq and is a predicted model, not a curated record. The transcript has 4 exons. Lineage: Eukaryota; Viridiplantae; Streptophyta; Magnoliopsida; Poales; Poaceae.
GGACGCUCACGUUGGCAUGGGGCACGGCGGCCGCCGAGGGAGCCGAGCCGGCGGAUGUGGAGGCUGCCGAGCAGCGGUGUUCGCGUGAAGGAGGAAUAUGAUGAUGCGUGGAGUGGCGUGGAGUGCCAACCAUCUCCAUCGAGCGGCGGUGCUCGCGUGAAGGAUGAGUUCAUGGUAGCAACACUCUCCCAUCUGUGGCUGCGCGUUUGACUGGCCAGUCAAGGAGCUCCGGCAAGCAGGUCCGCCUACUCUGCUUUCCCCUGAGCUCCUGCAACAACCACAACUUAUGUGUAGUAUCAGCCAGAGAACUACACAAAUCAUGUUCCUGACUUGAGAAGAAUGCACAUGGCCUUGCUGAGAACAUAAUACUGUUUCGAUGAUCUGUGGCUUUGAACAAUAGGUGACAGAUUGUGUUUUCAAUUGAUUCAUGGUCUGUUGUUUUUAAAAAACGCUUGGCACAUCCUCAACAAAAUCCUGAUUAAACGAUAGGCUUGGCAUAUAUUUUUUAUCACUAUGGUUGCUUUUAUCCGCAACUGAUUUCUCUGAUUCCUCUCCCAUGCUGUGAUGCAAUUGUUUUGGGAAAUUCCCCAAGGCCUUAUGUUUUAUGUUAUUGGGAACUGCAUGACACCCAGCGAGUGUUUAGGAUCCAAGACAAGGCAGUUCUUGACAUGCUCCUGGCACACCUUGGACUAUCACCAGCUCUUUUGCACAUACAUGUGAUGUGUUGAAGCCUAUCCAUCUGUCCGUUCUUUGUCAGGGUCACAAAGUCUUUGUGCCAGGAUUCUUCCCUUUGUAUAUAUGAAAGCGGCUUGUACGAUCUAUUCACAGACUUGCUCUGCUGCUUUGUAGCCCAACUGAUUAUGUACUCUUGAUCGUCCUCAUGGCAUCUGUCGACUCCAUUGUGAAUCGUCUCUUUA